GCAUAGAUGACGAGUCCCAUUCAGGACGAAACAGCUGUCCUGUGC
This 45-nucleotide non-coding RNA is filed under the name Echinostoma caproni. The record is from RNAcentral. Lineage: Eukaryota; Metazoa; Platyhelminthes; Trematoda; Plagiorchiida; Echinostomatidae.